RNAcentral lists this ribosomal RNA (492 nucleotides) under uncultured bacterium. Its description in RNAcentral is "partial 16S ribosomal RNA". It matches the Rfam family "Bacterial small subunit ribosomal RNA", at positions 29 to 507 of the family's 1533-position model. The record is from RNAcentral.
AGUGAACGCUGGCGGCAGGCCUAAUACAUGCGAGUCGAACGAAAAGACGGUGAGAGUGCGCCUCUAACGGUGGCGACUGGCGGGCGGGUAAGGCGUGGAUCGCAAUCCUCUAAUUCUGGGGGGACUACGUAGGACCAGUGCUGCUACUGCCUCAUAUGUCCUACGGGUUGAAGCAGGAGUUAUUGAGACUUUUGCUGAUACAUAGAGACGAAGCCGCAUUAGCUAGUUGGCGGGGUAAGGGCACACCUAGGCGACGAUCCGUAGCUGGCCUGAGAGGAUGAUCAGCCACACUGGAACUGAGACACGGUCCAGACUCCUACGGGAGGCAGCAGUGGGGAAUCUUCCGCAAUGGGCGCAAGCCUGAUCCAGCCAUACCGCGUGGGUGAAGAAGGCCUUCGGAUUGUAAAGCCCUGUUAUUAGGAAAGAACAGCAGCAUGAGAAUACCCCGCUGUUCUGACGGUACCCAAAGAGUAAGCACCGGCUAACUUCGUG